GACGAACGCUGGCGGCGUGGAUUAGGCAUGCAAGUCGAACGGUAUAAACCUUUCGGGGUUUAGAGAGUGGCGAACGGGUGAGUAACACGUAGGUAAUCUACCCUCAAAACGGGGACAACCCAGGGAAACUUGGGCUAAUACCGGAUGCGUGCAAGCAAUGUUUUGGCUGUUAAUGCUAUUCACGGAAGUGAGUAGUGUUAAUGGUUGAGAGCAUUAUUUGCAUAAAAGGUGGCAUAUGCUGCCGUUUGAGGAUGAGCCUGCGUCCUAUUAGUUAGUUGGUGAGGUAACGGCUCACCUAGGCAAUGAUAGGUAGGCGGCCUUAACGGGUGGUCGCCCACACUGGGAUUGAGAUACGGCCCAGACUCCUACGGGAGGCAGCAGUCGAGAAUAGUCUACAAUGGUCGGAAGACUGAUAGUGCGACGCCGCGUGAACGAUGAAUCCCUUCGGGGUGUAAAGUUCUUUUAUAUGUGAGCAGUGCUUCUUAUAUUAACAGUAUGGGGAGAGAGA
RNAcentral lists this ribosomal RNA (508 nucleotides) under uncultured bacterium. RNAcentral describes it as "bacterial SSU rRNA". It matches the Rfam family "Bacterial small subunit ribosomal RNA", at positions 28 to 478 of the family's 1533-position model. The record is from RNAcentral.